AGAUUAAUCACUACAGCUGCACUCGUUAGCAGAGAGUGAGCUCAGCACACAGAGAACUCAUGAUACUGGUGAGCUGUUUAUCCCAGCCAGCAGAAAACAUGCAGGUUACAGGACAGAUGGCAGAGGAUCUACAGAUUUACUCCCACCCCCGGAAUGACCAGACACAUACUGUAUGGUUGAUCAGUAGCUGAGCGGUCUUCAUACGAAUUGGACCACUUUCCGUCCUUAUAGAGUCAGGGUUAGAAUCUGUUUAUACCGAAGUCCGGUCAUUUACCUGAUUGCACUCUGGUUUUUAAAAAAGGAUUCCAUUUAAGUAUGGAAUCCCACUACUAAGCCACUCUGGUUUAAUCAAUUGGUUGUAUACCUAUUUUUUAUCGAUGCACACAGUGAGAGCUAUACUACUUCAGAAUAAUCUUAAAACAUCUGGCAUUUGAAACUAUAACCCUGAGGAAGUCCCAGAUAGGGACGAAACGCGUUGGGUUUUGUUCAAGUACUGUAUCCAUCUAUGCUAUAUGCUGUCAAUGGAGAAUUGUCACAAGCUUCAAGUCCCACCUGGACUCUCACCGGCAGAGAAUCACUAUACCAAUUGAAUGUCUAGCAGAUAAGAUCUGUUUAAAUUCUUAUUGUGAUUUCAUGCUGUUGUUAAAUUUUUAUGUAAUA
Molecule: long non-coding RNA, 660 nt
Organism: Pseudophryne corroboree (corroboree frog)
Lineage: Eukaryota; Metazoa; Chordata; Amphibia; Anura; Myobatrachidae
Exons: 6
Source: RefSeq, a predicted model, not a curated record